UAUACUUCCCUCCUUCAACUGGAUCAUUUUACUCUUGCAGAUUGAUGAUCUGGCAGCACAGCUGGAAUCUGCCUUUUCAGAGUGUCUAUAUCUGGAUUCCAAAACACAAGUUCUUCAACAGAAAUUACUGUCUAUGAAAGGAAUGCAAAGGGGAUGUGAAGAACUAGAGAUGCAUUAAGAGAAGUUGGAACAGGAAGUAGCAAACCUAAAACACCACAUAGAAAUGAAUAAGGCACAGGUAGCAUCUCAAGAAAAAAUGGGAGAAUAAGUAUGUUUCAAUGAGAAGUCAGAUGGAACUCAAAAUGAGAGAUCUGGAAUCUGAACUCUCCAAAGCAAAAAGUUUUCACUAAUAUUCUAAUAAAUCAGGAUUGGAAACAUAUAAGUGACUCUACCUAGAAGAACAAAAUUUUAGAAAGUGAUUGGAAAAUAUAAUGAUCAAAUUUUUUUCAGUUAUCAAAAACAUGCUGAUGUGGGCCUUUCACAAAAGCAAAGUAACAUCAAGUAGACUUUUGAAAAGUGGGGGAUAACGUGUAGCCGCCUUUGCAGCUGUUUCCGUUUUUCUUGAUCACCAAGUGGACGCUCUCAUCCUUCCCUUGAGGCUGUUGAUCUGAAUUAUUCCUCAGGGCCACAUGCUUGACUUCUCCAAGGUAACGAGUGGUUUAUUUUUUAUCCCUUUAUUGGUUUCCUUAAAAUAUGUCUAAGUGCUGGCAUUCCAAAAGG
Molecule: long non-coding RNA, 720 nt
Filed under: Sus scrofa (pig)
Lineage: Eukaryota; Metazoa; Chordata; Mammalia; Artiodactyla; Suidae
Description: lncRNA (ENSSSCG00060073280.1)
Source: RNAcentral